AACGCACCUUGCGCCCCUUGGUAUUCCGAGGGGCAUGCCUGUUCGAGUGUCAUUAAAUUAUCAGCUCAAAGUCUUUUGAUGUCUGGAUCUUGGAGCGUGCGGGUCUUCGCGAUCCGCUCCUCUCGAAACGCAUUAGCGGCUUGCGGAUCUGCCCUGGCGUGAUAAUUAUCUACGUCGCGGCGGCGAAGCUUCCGCUUACAAACUCCCACUAAAUGACGAAUUUGACCUCGAAUCAGGUAGGACUACCCGCUGAACUUAA
RNAcentral lists this unclassified non-coding RNA (259 nucleotides) under uncultured fungus. RNAcentral describes it as "partial contains 5.8S ribosomal RNA, internal transcribed spacer 2, and large subunit ribosomal RNA". The stretch from base 1 to 52 matches the Rfam family "5.8S ribosomal RNA", at positions 103 to 154 of the family's 154-position model. Lineage: Eukaryota; Fungi. The record is from RNAcentral.